This 374-nucleotide ribosomal RNA is filed under the name uncultured bacterium. RNAcentral's name for it is "bacterial SSU rRNA". It matches the Rfam family "Bacterial small subunit ribosomal RNA", at positions 114 to 507 of the family's 1533-position model. The record is from RNAcentral.
CACGUGAGCAACCUACCCUUGACACUGGGAUAACAGUUGGAAACAGCUGCUAAUACCGGAUACGAACUCAGCAGGCAUCUGCCGAGUUGGAAAGCUCCGACGGUCAAGGAUGGGCUCGCGGCCUAUCAGCUUGUUGGUGAGGUAACGGCUCACCAAGGCGACGACGGGUAGCCGGCCUGAGAGGGCGACCGGCCACACUGGGACUGAGAUACGGCCCAGACUCCUACGGGAGGCAGCAGUGGGGAAUAUUGCGCAAUGGGCGAAAGCCUGACGCAGCAGCGCCGCGUGCGGGAUGACGGCCUUCGGGUUGUAAACCGCUUUCAGCAGGGACGAAACUGACGGUACCUGCAGAAGAAGCACCGGCGAACUACGUG